RNAcentral lists this ribosomal RNA (2850 nucleotides) under Vibrio cholerae HC-43B1. Its description in RNAcentral is "bacterial LSU rRNA". It matches the Rfam family "Bacterial large subunit ribosomal RNA". The record is from RNAcentral. Lineage: Bacteria; Pseudomonadati; Pseudomonadota; Gammaproteobacteria; Vibrionales; Vibrionaceae.
AGUCAGAGGCGAUGAAGGACGUACUAACUUGCGAUAAGCGCAGAUAAGGCAGUAAGAGCCGUUUGAGUCUGCGAUUUCCGAAUGGGGAAACCCAACUGCAUAAGCAGUUACUGUUAACUGAAUACAUAGGUUAACAGAGCAAACCGGGGGAACUGAAACAUCUAAGUACCCCGAGGAGAAGAAAUCAACCGAGAUUCCGGUAGUAGCGGCGAGCGAACCUGGAUUAGCCCUUAAGCACUCGGUGAAGUAGGUGAACAAGCUGGAAAGCUUGGCGAUACAGGGUGAUAGCCCCGUAACCGACGAUUCAUCGAGCGUGAAAUCGAGUAGGGCGGGACACGUGAUAUCCUGUCUGAAUAUGGGGGGACCAUCCUCCAAGGCUAAAUACUCCUGACUGACCGAUAGUGAACCAGUACCGUGAGGGAAAGGCGAAAAGAACCCCUGUGAGGGGAGUGAAAUAGAACCUGAAACCGUGUACGUACAAGCAGUAGGAGCACCUUCGUGGUGUGACUGCGUACCUUUUGUAUAAUGGGUCAGCGACUUAUAUUCAGUGGCAAGGUUAACCGUAUAGGGGAGCCGUAGCGAAAGCGAGUCUUAACUGGGCGCUCAGUCUCUGGAUAUAGACCCGAAACCGGGUGAUCUAGCCAUGGGCAGGUUGAAGGUUGAGUAACAUCAACUGGAGGACCGAACCGACUAAUGUUGAAAAAUUAGCGGAUGACUUGUGGCUAGGGGUGAAAGGCCAAUCAAACUCGGAGAUAGCUGGUUCUCCCCGAAAGCUAUUUAGGUAGCGCCUCGGACGAAUACUACUGGGGGUAGAGCACUGUUAAGGCUAGGGGGUCAUCCCGACUUACCAACCCUUUGCAAACUCCGAAUACCAGUAAGUACUAUCCGGGAGACACACGGCGGGUGCUAACGUCCGUCGUGGAGAGGGAAACAACCCAGACCGCCAGCUAAGGUCCCAAAGUAUUGCUAAGUGGGAAACGAUGUGGGAAGGCUCAGACAGCUAGGAUGUUGGCUUAGAAGCAGCCAUCAUUUAAAGAAAGCGUAAUAGCUCACUAGUCGAGUCGGCCUGCGCGGAAGAUGUAACGGGGCUAAGCAAUACACCGAAGCUGCGGCAAUGUCUUUUAGACAUUGGGUAGGGGAGCGUUCUGUAAGCCGUUGAAGGUGAAUCGUAAGGUUUGCUGGAGGUAUCAGAAGUGCGAAUGCUGACAUGAGUAACGACAAAGGGGGUGAAAAACCUCCUCGCCGGAAGACCAAGGGUUCCUGUCCAACGUUAAUCGGGGCAGGGUGAGUCGACCCCUAAGGUGAGGCCGAAAGGCGUAAUCGAUGGGAAACGGGUUAAUAUUCCCGUACUUCUGACUAUUGCGAUGGGGGGACGGAGAAGGCUAGGUGGGCCAGGCGACGGUUGUCCUGGUUCAAGUGCGUAGGCUUGAGAGUUAGGUAAAUCCGGCUCUCUCUAAGGCUGAGACACGACGUCGAGCUGCUACGGCAGUGAAGUCAUUGAUGCCAUGCUUCCAGGAAAAGCCUCUAAGCUUCAGAUAGUCAGGAAUCGUACCCCAAACCGACACAGGUGGUCGGGUAGAGAAUACCAAGGCGCUUGAGAGAACUCGGGUGAAGGAACUAGGCAAAAUGGUACCGUAACUUCGGGAGAAGGUACGCUCUUGAUGGUGAAGUCCCUCGCGGAUGGAGCUGCCGAGAGUCGCAGAUACCAGGUGGCUGCAACUGUUUAUUAAAAACACAGCACUGUGCAAAAAUCGCAAGAUGACGUAUACGGUGUGACGCCUGCCCGGUGCCGGAAGGUUAAUUGAUGGGGUUAGCGCAAGCGAAGCUCUUGAUCGAAGCCCCGGUAAACGGCGGCCGUAACUAUAACGGUCCUAAGGUAGCGAAAUUCCUUGUCGGGUAAGUUCCGACCUGCACGAAUGGCGUAAUGAUGGCCACGCUGUCUCCACCCGAGACUCAGUGAAAUUGAAAUCGCUGUGAAGAUGCAGUGUACCCGCGGCUAGACGGAAAGACCCCGUGAACCUUUACUACAGCUUGGCACUGAACAUUGAACCUACAUGUGUAGGAUAGGUGGGAGGCUUUGAAGACGUGACGCCAGUUGCGUUGGAGCCGUCCUUGAAAUACCACCCUUGUAUGUUUGAUGUUCUAACUUAGACCCAUUAUCUGGGUUGAGGACAGUGCCUGGUGGGUAGUUUGACUGGGGCGGUCUCCUCCCAAAGAGUAACGGAGGAGCACGAAGGUGGGCUAAUCACGGUUGGACAUCGUGAGGUUAGUGCAAUGGCAUAAGCCCGCUUAACUGCGAGAAUGACGGUUCGAGCAGGUGCGAAAGCAGGUCAUAGUGAUCCGGUGGUUCUGUAUGGAAGGGCCAUCGCUCAACGGAUAAAAGGUACUCCGGGGAUAACAGGCUGAUACCGCCCAAGAGUUCAUAUCGACGGCGGUGUUUGGCACCUCGAUGUCGGCUCAUCACAUCCUGGGGCUGAAGUCGGUCCCAAGGGUAUGGCUGUUCGCCAUUUAAAGUGGUACGCGAGCUGGGUUUAGAACGUCGUGAGACAGUUCGGUCCCUAUCUGCCGUGGGCGUUGGAAGAUUGAAGGGGGCUGCUCCUAGUACGAGAGGACCGGAGUGGACGAACCUCUGGUGUUCGGGUUGUGUCGCCAGACGCAUUGCCCGGUAGCUAAGUUCGGAAUUGAUAAGCGCUGAAAGCAUCUAAGCGCGAAGCGAGCCCUGAGAUGAGUCUUCCCUGAUACUUUAAGUAUCCUAAAGGGUUGUUCGAGACUAGAACGUUGAUAGGCAGGGUGUGUAAGCGUUGUGAGGCGUUGAGCUAACCUGUACUAAUUGCCCGUGAGGCUUAACCA